AAAUGGCAUUCAUUUUCUCUGGAAACGGCCACAGGACCUUAAUUCUAGCAACUCCCAAGGUUCACCCUAAUUUAUGGAAACCAAGGGAUGGCUUAGAGCUGAUGAACAAUGAUCUUCCCAGCACCAACCCUGAAGACUGUGUACAGUGUCCUGCUUUGAUUUGUCCAAGAAUGAUUCAUAUCUCAUAUCACCAACUGGAGGGAUGAUCUCCAUUUUUGACAUGACAACAUUUAAGAAAGUCAUGCCACCGCCACCUGCGGCAACAUGUCUUGCUUUUCACCCUCUAGAUGACAGUAUAGUUGCUAUUUGCAUGGACAAUUCCACCAUUGUAAUAUACAAUCUCCACUCAGACGAGGUAGUUUGUUUGUUCUUGUAGAAAAAAGCAAAUCAUGCUCGAUGUUGUGAUGAAGCAAACCCAAAAAGUUUUUCAUUGCCUUGAUUUAUAUAUUUUGCAAGUUACAAGGAAGCUUGAGGGUCACGCCAAAAAAGUCACUAGCCUUGCCUUCUCGAACACUCUGAAUGUACUAGUUUCUUCUGGUCUAAUGUGACUUCUGUUAUUUAAUGAUCGACGUCGUUUUGG
Non-coding RNA from Prunus mume (Japanese apricot), 580 nucleotides. The record is from RefSeq and is a predicted model, not a curated record. NCBI's taxonomy places the organism in Eukaryota, Viridiplantae, Streptophyta, Magnoliopsida, Rosales, Rosaceae.